Sander lucioperca (pikeperch) is the source of this 148-nucleotide long non-coding RNA. RefSeq lists it as uncharacterized. NCBI's taxonomy places the organism in Eukaryota, Metazoa, Chordata, Actinopteri, Perciformes, Percidae. The record is from RefSeq and is a predicted model, not a curated record. The transcript is spliced from 3 exons.
AGACACAGUUUUCAGUGUUCAACUUUGGCCCCAUCCCCCACCACUUGCACCAGAAACUGCAUCUGGAGCUGGAGCAGCAGAGAAGGAGGGGCGACAGAUUUACAACUGUCCAUGGUUAAGUGACUGAAUUGGACACCCAGAUGGCUCU